RNAcentral lists this ribosomal RNA (253 nucleotides) under uncultured bacterium. RNAcentral's name for it is "partial 16S ribosomal RNA". It matches the Rfam family "Bacterial small subunit ribosomal RNA", at positions 524 to 776 of the family's 1533-position model. The record is from RNAcentral.
UACAGAGGUCUCAAGCGUUGUUCGGAUUCAUUGGGCGUAAAGGGUGCGUAGGUGGCGCGGUAAGUCGGGUGUGAAAUUUCGGAGCUUAACUCCGAAACUGCAUUCGAUACUGCCGUGCUUGAGGACUGGAGAGGAGACUGGAAUUUACGGUGUAGCAGUGAAAUGCGUAGAGAUCGUAAGGAAGACCAGUGGCGAAGGCGGGUCUCUGGACAGUUCCUGACACUGGGGCACGAAGGCCAGGGGAGCAAACAGG